RNAcentral lists this ribosomal RNA (455 nucleotides) under uncultured organism. RNAcentral describes it as "partial 16S ribosomal RNA". It matches the Rfam family "Bacterial small subunit ribosomal RNA", at positions 330 to 797 of the family's 1533-position model. The record is from RNAcentral.
CGUACACUCCUACGGGAGGCAGCAGUGGGGAAUAUUGCACAAUGGGCGGAAGCCUGAUGCAGCAACGCCGCGUGCGGGAUGACGGCCUUCGGGUUGUAAACCGCUUUCGCCUGUGACGAAGCGUGAGUGACGGUAAUGGGUAAAGAAGCACCGGCUAACUACGUGCCAGCAGCCGCGGUGAUACGUAGGGUGCGAGCGUUGUCCGGAUUUAUUGGGCGUAAAGGGCUCGUAGGUGGUUGAUCGCGUCGGAAGUGUAAUCUUGGGGCUUAACCCUGAGCGUGCUUUCGAUACGGGUUGACUUGAGGAAGGUAGGGGAGAAUGGAAUUCCUGGUGGAGCGGUGGAAUGCGCAGAUAUCAGGAGGAACACCAGUGGCGAAGGCGGUUCUCUGGGCCUUUCCUGACGCUGAGGAGCGAAAGCGUGGGGAGCGAACAGGCUUAGAUACCCCAGUAGUCCC